RNAcentral lists this ribosomal RNA (504 nucleotides) under Pantoea agglomerans. RNAcentral describes it as "bacterial SSU rRNA". It matches the Rfam family "Bacterial small subunit ribosomal RNA", at positions 48 to 546 of the family's 1533-position model. Lineage: Bacteria; Pseudomonadati; Pseudomonadota; Gammaproteobacteria; Enterobacterales; Erwiniaceae. The record is from RNAcentral.
CUAACCAUGCAGUCGGACGGUAGCACAGAGAGCUUGCUCUUGGGUGACAAGUGGCGGACGGGUGAGUAAUGUNUGGGGAUCUGCCCGAUAGAGGGGGAUAACCACUGGAAACGGUGGCUAAUACCGCAUAACGUCGCAAGACCAAAGAGGGGGACCUUCGGGCCUCUCACUAUCGGAUGAACCCAGAUGGGAUUAGCUAGUAGGCGGGGUAAUGGCCCACCUAGGCGACGAUCCCUAGCUGGUCUGAGAGGAUGACCAGCCACACUGGAACUGAGACACGGUCCAGACUCCUACGGGAGGCAGCAGUGGGGAAUAUUGCACAAUGGGCGCAAGCCUGAUGCAGCCAUGCCGCGUGUAUGAAGAAGGCCUUCGGGUUGUAAAGUACUUUCAGCGGGGAGGAAGGCGAUGGGGUUAAUAACCCUGUCCAUUGACGUUACCCCCAAAAAAANCACCGGCUAACUCCGUGCCUUCAGCCGCGGUAAAACGGAGGGUGGANCGUUAAUC